GAACGUACGCUGGCGGCACGCCUAACACAUGCAAGUCGAACGAAGUAGCAAUACUUAGUGGCAGACGGGUGAGUAACAUGUAGGUAUCUGCCCUUUGGCCUGGAAUAACACGAGGAAACUUGUGCUAAUACCGGAUAAGUCUUUACGGAGAAAGCUUUAUGCACCAUUGGAUGAGCCUGCACUUGAUUAGUUUGUUGGUAGGGUAAUGGCCUACCAAGACUAUGAUCAAUAGCUGAUUUGAGAGGAUGAUCAGCCACAUUGGGACUGAGACACGGCCCAAACUCCUACGGGAGGCAGCAGUGGGGAAUCUUGCACAAUGGAGGAAACUCUGAUGCAGCGAUGCCGCGUGAGUGAAGAAGGCCCUUGGGUUGUAAAGCUCUUUCGUCGGGGAAGAAAAUGACUGUACCCGAAUAAGAAGGUCCGGCUAACUUCGUGCCAGCAGCCGCGGUAAUACGAAGGGACCUAGCGUAGUUCGGAAUUACUGGGCUUAAAGAGUUCGUAGGUGGUUGAAAAAGUUGGUGGUGAAAUCCCAGAGCUUAACUCUGGAACUGCCAUCAAAACUUUUCAGCUAGAGUAUGAUAGAGGAAAGCAGAAUUUCUAGUGUAGAGGUGAAAUUCGUAGAUAUUAGAAAGAAUACCAAUUGCGAAGGCAGCUUUCUGGAUCAUUACUGACACUGAGGAACGAAAGCAUGGGUAGCGAAGAGGAUUAGAUACCCUCGUAGUCCAUGCCGUAAACGAUGUGUGUUAGACGUUGGAAAUUUAUUUUCAGUGUCGCAGCGAAAGCGAUAAACACACCGCCUGGGGAGUACGACCGCAAGGUUAAAACUCAAAUGAAUUGACGGGGACCCGCACAAGUAGUGGAGCAUGUGGUUUAAUUCGAAGAUACGCGCAGAACCUUACCAACACUUGACAUGUUCGUCGCGACUCUAAGAGAUUAGAGUUUUCGGUUCGGCCGGACGAAACACAGGUGCUGCAUGGCUGUCGUCAGCUCGUGUCGUGAGAUGUUGGGUUAAGUCCCGCAACGAGCGCAACCCUCACUUUUAGUUGCCAUCAUUAAGUUGGGCACUCUGAAAGAACUGCCAGUGAUAAGCUGGAGGAAGGUGGGGAUGACGUCAAGUCCUCAUGGCCCUUACGUGUUGGGCUACACACGUGCUACAAUGGUAUCUACAACAGGAAGCGAAACGGCAACGUUAAGCAAAUCCCGAAAAGAUACCUCAGUUCGGAUUGCACUCUGCAACUCGAGUGCAUGAAGCUGGAAUUACUAGUAAUCGUGGAUCAGCGUGCCACGGUGAAUGCGUUCCCGGGUCUUGUACACACC
This 1317-nucleotide ribosomal RNA is filed under the name uncultured Alphaproteobacteria bacterium. RNAcentral describes it as "bacterial SSU rRNA". It matches the Rfam family "Bacterial small subunit ribosomal RNA", at positions 27 to 1391 of the family's 1533-position model. Lineage: Bacteria; Pseudomonadati; Pseudomonadota; Alphaproteobacteria. The record is from RNAcentral.